Molecule: ribosomal RNA, 945 nt
Filed under: uncultured bacterium
Lineage: Bacteria
Description: bacterial SSU rRNA
Rfam family: Bacterial small subunit ribosomal RNA
Source: RNAcentral
CGUCAAGGAUUGACAGUACCCCGAGAGGANNCACGGCUAACUCCGUGCCAGCAGCCGCGGUAAUACGGAGGUGGCNAGCGUUGUUCGGAUUGAUUGGGUGUAAAGGGCAUGUAGGCGUCUUGGUAAGUCGAACGUGAAAUCCCGCAGCUCAACUGCGGAACUGCAUUCGAAACUACCGAGAUUGAGUACGGAAGGGGAGAAUGGAAUUCCCGGUGUAAGAGUGAAAUCUGUAGAUAUCGGGAGGAACACCAGUGGCGAAGGCGGUUCUCUGGUCCGAUACUGACGCUGAAAUGCGAAAGCUAGGGGAGCGAACAGGAUUAGAUACCCUGGUAGUCCUAGCCGUAAACGAUGGGCACUAGGUGUCGGCUCGCAAGAGUCGGUGCCGCAGUUAACACAUUAAGUGCCCCACCUGGGGAGUACGUCGGCAACGAUGAAACUCAAAGGAAUUGACGGGGGCCCGCACAAGCGGUGGAGCAUGUGGUUUAAUAGGAUGCUACGCCUGGAACCUUACCAGGACUUGACAUGUAAGUGGUAGUGAACCGAAAGGGGAACGACCUCGCAAGAGGAGCUUAUGCAGGUGUUGCAUGGCUGUCGUCAGCUCGUGUCGUGAGAUGUUGGGUUAAGUCCCUUAACGAGCGCAACCCCUAUUUUUAGUUGCUACUGUUGACAUCUAUGUCAACAGGCACUCUAGAAAGACCGCCAGUGAUAAACUGGAGGAAGGUGGGGAUGACGUCAAGUCAGUACGGCCCUUAUGUCCUGGGCUACACACGUGCUACAAUGGGAUGUACAAUGAGACGCGAGACCGCAAGGUGGAGCAAAUCUUCAAAGCAUCUCUCAGUUCGGAUUGGAGGCUGCAAUUCGCCUCCAUGAAGUUGGAAUCGCUAGUAACGGCGUAUCAGCAACGAUGCCGUGAAUACGUUCCCGGGCCUUGUACUCACCGCCCGU